UUCGCCCUACGGGGGGCAGCAGUGGGGAAUAUUGCACAAUGGGGGAAACCCUGAUGCAGCAACGCCGCGUGAGUGAAGAAGGUUUUCGGAUUGUAAAGCUCUGUUAGCAGGGAAGAGGAAGGACGGUACCUGCAGAGGAAGCAUCGGCUAACUCCGUGCCAGCAGCCGCGGUAAUACGGAGGAUGCGAGCGUUAUCCGGAUUUAUUGGGUUUAAAGGGUGCGCAGGCGGAAUGUCAAGUCAGCGGUAAAAUUUCGGGGCUCAACCCCGUCGUGCAGUUGAAACUGGCGUUCUUGAGUGAGCGAGA
RNAcentral lists this ribosomal RNA (305 nucleotides) under uncultured bacterium. RNAcentral's name for it is "bacterial SSU rRNA". It matches the Rfam family "Bacterial small subunit ribosomal RNA", at positions 333 to 655 of the family's 1533-position model. The record is from RNAcentral.